AGUGAACGCUGGCGGUAGGCCUAACACAUGCAAGUCGAACGGCAGCACAGGAGAGCUUGCUCUCUGGGUGGCGAGUGGCGGACGGGUGAGGAAUACAUCGGAAUCUACUUUUUCGUGGGGGAUAACGUAGGGAAACUUACGCUAAUACCGCAUACGACCUACGGGUGAAAGCAGGGGACCUUCGGGCCUUGCGCGAAUGAAUGAGCCGAUGUCGGAUUAGCUAGUUGGCGGGGUAAAGGCCCACCAAGGCGACGAUCCGUAGCUGGUCUGAGAGGAUGAUCAGCCACACUGGAACUGAGACACGGUCCAGACUCCUACGGGAGGCAGCAGUGGGGAGUAUUGGACAAUGGGCGCAAGCCUGAUCCAGCCAUACCGCGUGGGUGAAGAAGGCCUUCGGGUUGUAAAGCCCUUUUGUUGGGAAAGAAAUCCAGCUGGCUAAUACCCGGUUGGGAUGACGGUACCCAAAGAAUAAGCACCGGCUAACUUCGUGCCAGCAGCCGCCGUAA
RNAcentral lists this ribosomal RNA (506 nucleotides) under uncultured bacterium. Its description in RNAcentral is "partial 16S ribosomal RNA". It matches the Rfam family "Bacterial small subunit ribosomal RNA", at positions 29 to 523 of the family's 1533-position model. The record is from RNAcentral.